This 219-nucleotide small RNA is filed under the name uncultured Neobacillus sp. RNAcentral describes it as "BsrG". It matches the Rfam family "BsrG", at positions 12 to 220 of the family's 259-position model. Rfam says of the family: bsrE, bsrG and bsrH pair through intermolecular interactions with antisense sRNAs. SR4 interaction with the 3'UTR of bsrG RNA promotes bsrG degradation and inhibits its translation. SR5 also overlaps bsrG from nucleotide 163 to 52 (Rfam overlap check). The record is from RNAcentral. Lineage: Bacteria; Bacillati; Bacillota; Bacilli; Caryophanales; Bacillaceae.
AGAAUAGGUUUUCUUAAGGGUGGUCGGUACACUCCCCAGUAGAAAGGGGGUGAUGCCGAAUGACAGUGUUUGAAUCACUCAUGUUUGCAAUUGGGUUUGCCAGUUUAAUUGUAAGCAUACUGUCAUUUAAAUCAAAAAAAUAAUCCACCCUUGAGUUAAACCGGCUCAGGUGGAUUAUCUGCCAAGAAGCCGACCCCUUUAGCGGGACCGUCUAUUGCA